This 701-nucleotide ribosomal RNA is filed under the name Phytopythium sp. RNAcentral's name for it is "LSU rRNA". It matches the Rfam family "Eukaryotic large subunit ribosomal RNA", at positions 440 to 1101 of the family's 3401-position model. The record is from RNAcentral. Lineage: Eukaryota; Oomycota; Peronosporomycetes; Pythiales; Pythiaceae.
GUCUAGGAGGUAGGUCAGGAGCUUGCUUUUGGCUGUUAUAUCUGGGCGUGCUAGUUGUCGUGGCUGGGACUGAGGUGCGUACAACGUGCUUUUGGAGUGUUGGUGCGUCUCUGUGUGCGUGCGUGUUGGAUAGCUUGCUAUGCAGUGUGCGUUGCGUGCGGAUGGUCGUGCUUGGUAACUCUUUGCCGUUCGGGACUUUGACGAAAUGGCGCGAUCCGACCCGUCUUGAAACACGGACCAAGGAGUCUAGCAUGUGUGCAAGUGUUGGGGUGUGGAAACCCAAGCGCGAAAUGAAAGUAAAGGGCGGCUUUUGCUGUCUGAGGUAGGAAACCUUUGCUCGUCAGGGGUGGCACUAUCGACCGAUCAUGAACCCUCGUGGUGAAAGAUUUGAGUAGGAGCACAUAUGCUGGUACCCGAAAGAUGGUGAACUAUGCCUGAGUAGGGUGAAGCCAGGGGAAACUCUGGUGGAAGCUCGUAGCGAUUCUGACGUGCAAAUCGAUCGUCGAACUUGGGUAUAGGGGCGAAAGACUAAUCGAACCAUCUAGUAGCUGGUUCCCUCCGAAAUUUCCCUCAGGAUAGCAGCAACUUCUUUUCGAUAGUUUUAUGAGGUAAAGCGAAUGAUUAGAGGACUCGGGGAAGAAACUUCCUUGACCUAUUCUCAAACUUUAAAUCUGUAAGACCUGCAGGUUCUUAAUUGAACU